UGCUUGGAGGGCAGGGGCUGUGUCAUGAAUCUUUGUGUCUCCCUAGCUCAGUGCCUUGGCCCUAGAGAUGGUAUGAAAUAAAUAUCUCCAGGGUUAAAUUUGGCACCAGAGUGUGUAUAAUUUGCAUCAUAAACACUUCUGAUCAGGAAGCAGAUGAAUAUUUAUCAGCCAAAGGAUCCUCUUGGAAAGAAGGCUGUACAGGUUAGAGAAGAGAUCUAAAAUCUAAAUGGGUCAGUGCAUUUCCAUGUUUAUUGAGUCUCCACCACAUGCUAGAUACCAUAAUAGUUUGUAUGAGGAAUUUACAAAUAUACUCAUAAAUUUAGUGCCAGUUAAUGGGCCAACAGCACUAUGAAAUCUAACUUAUUUCCUAUAUUUCAAAAAAUAAGGAGAGUGAGAGGAGGAUUCUUUCUUGACAGGAAAGGACUCUGCCUCCUCUCUCAUCCCCCCUCCACACACACAGGGGAAAAGGAAAAUAACAUUUGUUCUGCCUCACUAAUGCUCAACUCCAAUUCAAAUCUUUUAUCAGAAAUACUUGAGAGGCCGAUUAAUAAUCAGAGAGCUUAAUAAUUUGAGAAAAGAAAGGCCCUAAAAUAAUUUAUACUACUAAAAGUAAUACCACUUACCCAGAUGCCUUAAACCCACUUUCAUGGGUAUAAAGGAUAUGAACUGUUAUAUUGCUGACUAAUAGGUAAUUAUAAAAUAUUAGAGGCAUAAAGUGUAACAAUACUUUAUCAACCACAAAAGCACUUAAUGCUGAUACUUUUAACUGACAAUUGGCUUUGUUCAACCGUAAAUGACACAUGCAAUUAGAGCACUGUUUAAAAGAGUACUUUGUUUAUAGUUUUCCUUUCCUUUAUAUUACUGUGACUUUUUUCAACAUAUGUUGCUUUGUUUUUCUUCCUCUUGCCUCUCCCUUCAGAGGCUUAAGUGCAGUAUUUCCACUCCUCCCGAAUGUAAGGGAAAGGAACAUAAUCUCUGAUAAGGAGGAGGACAGUUUUGUUUUUUAAAGAGAACCAUUUUUUUAAAACUUACUUUCAAAUUACAGCUGACAUAUAACAUAAUCGUUUCAGGUAUAUAACAUAGUGAUUAGACAUUUCUAUACUUUACGAAGUGAUCACUCCCAUAAGUCUAGUACCUACCUGGCACCAAAUGUAGUUAUUACAAUAUUACUGGCUAUAUUUCCCUAUGCUGUACGUCCCCAUGACUAUUUUUAUAACUGGCAAUCUGUACCUCUUGAUCUCUUUCAUCUUUUCCCACUCCAACCAAGCAGGGGAGUUUCUUGCUUCUCAAUCUGGAAACUACAGUAAAAUCCUGCCACAUAUGCUGAGGGUGACGCACAGGACAAAUACAGACAAUGGUACUGAGCCUGUGCACUGGGAUGUCACGGGCUCUCAGGGCUCUCACCGUGCCCACCGAGUUCUCCUAUAGACCAGGUACGGGUGGGUGAAUGCUGUGACUGUGGAAGAGGGCAAGGUCAAGGGAUUCACUCCUUUUGUGUUUCAAACCACUGGGAUAUAUGGCUAAGGACAAUGUAAGCGCUACACAGAGUAAAUCCUCUAGAAUUUCUGUUCCCAUGUUAAGAAACACACAAGCAACAAAAUUACAUAACCACAUAAUAGUGUUCUUAUUAUGGAUCUUAUUGGGAAUUCUUAAUAGGAUUGGAAACACCCACAGUGGACAUUAAUAUGUAUAAUUACCCUUCAUGGUACAUCCAGCUAUUUUAAAAAUUUGUUCUUUCCAAAAUGAAAGGAUUCAGAGAGCUGAACUCCAAGAUUUCCUCUUGGUUCAGACCUAAAUGAAUAGUAAUAAUAUACUGCCAAAAAAUACAGCAUGAUAAAUACUACUUCUGUGAGGUGAUAAACUUCAAGUCUGUUCGAUAGCUGGUCCUCUCAUACUAAGCCCAGUGACAUGUUAUGGCUAUGAUGCUUUCCUUUUGAAAUCAUCAGAUUAUUCUAUGUACAUGUACCUAUAGGCCACUUCUAAAUUGCAGAGUGUCAUGUAAACUUUUGGAAUUUUAUAAAACUCCUUCAUGCAGCUGCCCAAUGAGUAGUGUGUCCUAUUUUCAAACACAGUAUUUUAUAUGAUUGAGGUAGUCAGAGAAACAAAGUAGUGUUUUCAGGGGAUAGUUGAGUUUUAUAUUUUUAAUCUUUCAUCUUAGCAACUAUGUACGUUUUCUAGGUCCUCAUCUACUCUUGGUUAUCCCCCAGGAGUUAUUCAUUAAUGAUCAUUAAAUAUUUUAGACUUUUUAUUUAAAAAGUUAAAAAUUCUAAAUGAGCCCAUUUAGACAGUCCACAAAUAAAUGAAUGGAAUCAAGUUUCAAGUAAAUGACACUCAUUAAGUUGAUGACUUUGUAUAAAAUAACUAUUAUUUUCGAAUAUUGUAUUGCUAUAAUAUCAAUAUUACAGUAUUCUAAGCUAGAAAUUUACCUUUGGUUCUAAGGCCAGUUAAACAUCUGUACCUGUACUUAGCGACAUGUUGCCUAUAAAAGUCAAUCUGUCAGCAAGCCUGCUGGAUGGAAAGUCUUCUCAAACCUAUAAGAGACUGGUCCAAAGAAACAGGCAGAGUAGCUACCCUUUUAAGUAGGAAUGAGAUAAACAGAAUUAAUGAAGCACCGUGGAGAAUUUAAAACUGGAACAGCAUUUCUUACAAACAAUCUGACUCAUAACAGAAAAUUACCAUUAGGGAGUUUAUCUAAAGUAACUAAGAACUUAACUGGACUUUAGGGGACUCAUGAGAAAGAACACAAGUGCAUUUUGGCCAAGCAGAGGAAAAAACAGAGCCUUCAUCCAAUUUGCUUAAAAGAACAAUACUAUAAAAGCAUAACAGUCUCUGUAUCCUAGAAUAUAUUUCAGCUGUCUAUCCUCAGCAGUUAACACAGAACCCCAACUAUGGUAAGUAUAUAGUAUAUUUUUGUUAAAUGAAUAUCUUAUUAGUCCCAGAAAGGAGAUUACAACAAAUUCAGUACUCUUAAAGAUUAUCUGUUAAAAGGAAUUAUCUCAGUCUCUGAAUCCUUGGGCAAUAACAAGCUAAAGCAGUGGGUCUCACUGUUGCAAUUUUGUACCGUUAGGGGACAUUUGGCAAUGUCUAGAGGCAGUUUGGAUUGUCACAAAUGUGUGUGUGGGAUAUUUCUGCUGGCAUCUAGUGUGCAGAGGACAAAAUGCUGAUAAACAUCCAACAAUACAAGUCCUGCAAGGCAAUGUAUUAUUCAGUCCUAAAGGACAGCAGUGCUGAAAUAACUAAAUUAAAAAAAACCAACCUGGAAUGGGAAGAACUCUGAACUUCACAAAAUUCUUUAAUCAAAGGCAGUAUAUAAUAAUGUUACGCUGUAGGUUUUAAAAAUCAAAGCCUUUGUCUUUUCUAAAAUGCUUUAAUAAUAUGGAUAUGGAGUAUCAAUAUCCCAGAGUAAAUUUAAAGGAGUUACUUAUUUUCUUUAAGAUAAAAAACUAAAUGCCUGCUUGUGAACCAGGGGGAAAUCUGCCUAAGCGUGACAGGUGGUUUUCUUAUUUGUGAUUCUGUCACUUUUUUUUCUUCACUGUUGAAAAUACUUAUAUACGGUGUUUUAAGGUAUUUUUCUGCCUAGUAUCUUAAGUGUGGCAUUAGCUUAAUUCCUGUGAAAGAAUGUAAUAUCUUCAUGGUAAAAUUAUUUGGAUUAUGCUCGCACUUUAAGGAUUCUUUUGAUAUUGUACAACUUCUGUCUCUUAAACAUAAACUGCACAGUACAGAACUCAUCCAAACAAGUACAUGAUGAGAUAGAUAAAACAUCUGCUACAAUUUUGGAUUAGAUGUGGACACAAUAAUCUAAUGUGUGUGUGUUUUCAUUUCCCAGUACGGUAUAUCUUUGAAAAUGACAAGAACCUAACUCUCCAUUUAGCUCAUUUACCUCUCCGUCUACUCUCCAAGUGCUUUUCUGUAACAUUUAGAAAUUAGUUUGGAUAACGAAUUCAGGAGUUGAGUGAAUAUUAUGUAGAGUAGAUGUUCCAAAGUGGUAAAUCCAGUACGAAAGCAUGACAUCUAGAUGAUCAUGGCUUUGAUCAUCCAGAAUGUAUGUGGACUUGCUAACUGCAAUGAAGUCUCACAAUAGUGUCUGACAGGUGAGACAUAACUUAUCAGGGCAAUUGGAAUUCAUCUUCCCAUUUCAUAAAUAUUAUCCAAACAAAUAAAAUAUGCAUUAAAGUGACUGAUUUAUUAGGAAUUACUUUACCAAAUUAAACAUGAUUACUUUUAUACACAAAACCAAAGUCAAAAGUGAGCAAAAACUCUGAAAAUGGAACUCUGCUUGAAAUCUCUAUUGAUUCUUUUAUGAAUGAAGUUACCAAAUGACCGUGAAUUUUGUUAUUUUAAUGACAGCUUAAUUGAAUUCUACUUUGGGAAGUGGUUAUGUAGCAAGAUGACACUGCUAUAAAGUAAGUGUUAGUUAUUUUUGACCUUGGUAUUUCAAGUGACAGCGGUUCUCAACCUGUGGGUCGCAAACAAUGAAAAUACAUCCUGCAUAUCAGAUAUUUACAUUACGAUUCAUAACAGUAGCAAAAUUACAGUUAUGAAGUAGCAACGAAAAUAAUUUUAUGGUUGGGAUCACCACAACAUGAGGAACUGUAUUAAAGGGUCGUGGCAUUAGGAAUCAUUUUCCUUUUUAUAUGAUUUUCCUCCUUGAUGUAAGUUACUAAACUUCUCUGCAUCUUGGCUUGCAUAAUGCCAGCAUUUUCCUCAUCAGGUUGUUGUGAAGAUGAAACAGGUUUUUAUACAUGACACAGAGCAGUGGCUGGCAAAGGGUGAGUACUCUGUACACAUGUGAUUACUAUUUUCCUUGAGUCUUUAUAAUUGGACAUUGAUUUCCCCUCCAGAUGCUAUUUUCAACAUCUCUCUGAUACCCUGUAAGUCAUGGAAAGAGUCUGUAUCUGCCCUAACACCUGGAGUCCUAAACAUUAAGGGUUGUUGAACAGUGAUUGGCUUAUAGGAGAUAGUGGGUGGUGACUUACUCUUUUUGUCAGCUGAGUAUCCAUCAUGAAGUUGUGCACGUGCUUUUCUGCUUUGACCAGCAGGUCUUCAGGCCAAUCAACUAUGAUAUACUGGGGAUGAAGAGUGAUGCAUUGUACAGCUUCCAACUGUUCUACAUAUAUAACAGAAAGGUCACACUGAUACAUUAAGUGCUGAAGGUGGCCACUGCUGAGAUCCUCUGGAAGGAAAUCAAAAUCCUAACAGGAGUGGAAAAUCACUGGUAUCAAGAGCCUUUGGAAACCUUCAAUUUGUGUUUAUUUCUGGGCUCUAUUUUUCCUGCUGCUGGCCCAUUUCUUGCUGCAUGUUCUCUAGCUCACCCAAAUCUUGUGCAAUAAAAUGAGUACCUUCAUUGCA
Long non-coding RNA from Myotis myotis, 5349 nucleotides. RefSeq lists it as uncharacterized. The transcript is spliced from 4 exons. Lineage: Eukaryota; Metazoa; Chordata; Mammalia; Chiroptera; Vespertilionidae. The record is from RefSeq and is a predicted model, not a curated record.